Molecule: small RNA, 543 nt
Filed under: Acremonium hansfordii
Lineage: Eukaryota; Fungi; Ascomycota; Sordariomycetes; Hypocreales; Bionectriaceae
Description: eukaryotic LSU rRNA
Rfam family: Eukaryotic large subunit ribosomal RNA
Source: RNAcentral
CGGAGGAAAAGAAACCAACAGGGAUUGCCCUAGUAACGGCGAGUGAAGCGGCAACAGCUCAAAUUUGAAAUCUGGCUCUCGGGCCCGAGUUGUAAUUUGUAGAGGAUGUUUCUGGCGACGUGUCUUCCGAGUUCCCUGGAACGGGACGCCAUAGAGGGUGAGAGCCCCGUCCGGUCGUACGCCUAGCCUCUGUGAAACUCCUUCGACGAGUCGAGUAGUUUGGGAAUGCUGCUCAAAAUGGGAGGUAUACGUCUUCUAAAGCUAAAUACCGGCCAGAGACCGAUAGCGCACAAGUAGAGUGAUCGAAAGAUGAAAAGCACUUUGAAAAGAGGGUUAAAUAGUACGUGAAAUUGCUGAAAGGGAAGCGCUCAUGACCAGACUUGGGCUCGGUGAAUCAUCCGGCGUUCUCGCCGGUGCACUUUGCCGGCCCAGGCCAGCAUCAGCUCGCCUCGGGGGAUAAAGGCUUCGGGAAUGUAGCUCCCUCGUGGAGUGUUAUAGACCGUUGCGUAAUACCCUGGGGCGGGCUGAGGUACGCGUCUGCAA